AGUGAACGCUGGCGGUAGGCCUAACACAUGCAAGUCGAACGGCAGCACAGGAGAGCUUGCUCUCUGGGUGGCGAGUGGCAGACGGGUGAGGAAUACAUCGGAAUCUACUUUUUCGUGGGGGAUAACGUAGGGAAACUUACGCUAAUACCGCAUACGACCUACGGGUGAAAGCAGGGGAUCUUCGGACCUUGCGCGAUUGAAUGAGCCGAUGUCGGAUUAGCUAGUUGGCGGGGUAAAGGCCCACCAAGGCGACGAUCCGUAGCUGGUCUGAGAGGAUGAUCAGCCACACUGGAACUGAGACACGGUCCAGACUCCUACGGGAGGCAGCAGUGGGGAAUAUUGGACAAUGGGCGCAAGCCUGAUCCAGCCAUACCGCGUGGGUGAAGAAGGCCUUCGGGUUGUAAAGCCCUUUUGUUGGGAAAGAAAUCCAGCUGGUUAAUACCCGGUUGGGAUGACAGUACCCAAAGAAUAAGCACCGGCUAACUUCGUGCCAGCAGCCGCAGUAA
Molecule: ribosomal RNA, 506 nt
Filed under: uncultured bacterium
Lineage: Bacteria
Description: partial 16S ribosomal RNA
Rfam family: Bacterial small subunit ribosomal RNA
Source: RNAcentral